RNAcentral lists this ribosomal RNA (254 nucleotides) under uncultured bacterium. Its description in RNAcentral is "partial 16S ribosomal RNA". It matches the Rfam family "Bacterial small subunit ribosomal RNA", at positions 524 to 776 of the family's 1533-position model. The record is from RNAcentral.
UACGGAGGGUGCGAGCGUUGUCCGGAAUCAUUGGGCGUAAAGGGCGCGUAGGUGGCCCGGUCAGUUCGUGGUGAAAGCGCGGGGCUCAACCCUGCGUCGGCCAUGAAUACUGCCGCGGCUGGAGCACUGUAGAGGCAGGCGGAAUUCCGGGUGUAGCGGUGGAAUGCGUAGAGAUCCGGAGGAACGCCAGUGGCGAAGGCGACACGCUGGGCCGUACCUGACACUGAUGCGCGACAGCAUGGGGAGCAAACAGG